GCGGCAGGCCUAACACAUGCAAGUCGAACGGUAACAGGAAACAGCUUGCUGUUUCGCUGACGAGUGGCGGACGGGUGAGUAAUGUCUGGGAAACUGCCUGAUGGAGGGGGAUAACUACUGGAAACGGUAGCUAAUACCGCAUAACGUCGCAAGACCAAAGAGGGGGACCCUCGGGCCUCUUGCCAUCGGAUGUGCCCAGAUGGGAUUAGCUUGUUGGUGGGGUAACGGCUCACCAAGGCGACGAUCCCUAGCUGGUCUGAGAGGAUGACCAGCCACACUGGAACUGAGACACGGUCCAGACUCCUACGGGAGGCAGCAGUGGGGAAUAUUGCACAAUGGGCGCAAGCCUGAUGCAGCCAUGCCGCGUGUAUGAAGAAGGCCUUCGGGUUGUAAAGUACUUUCAGCGGGGAGGAAGGGAGUAAAGUUAAUACCUUUGCUCAUUGACGUUACCCGCAGAAGAAGCACCGGCUAACUCCAUGCCAGCAGCCGCGGUAAUACGGAGGGUGCAAGCGUUAAUCGGAAUUACUGGGCGUAAAGCGCACGCAGGCGGUUUGUUAAGUCAGAUGUGAAAUCCCCGGGCUCAACCUGGGAACUGCAUCUGAUACUGGCAAGCUUGAGUCUCGUAGAGGGGGGUAGAAUUCCAGGUGUAGCGGUGAAAUGCGUAGAGAUCUGGAGGAAUACCGGUGGCGAAGGCGGCCCCCUGGACG
This 707-nucleotide ribosomal RNA is filed under the name uncultured Pseudomonadota bacterium. RNAcentral describes it as "bacterial SSU rRNA". It matches the Rfam family "Bacterial small subunit ribosomal RNA", at positions 39 to 735 of the family's 1533-position model. Lineage: Bacteria; Pseudomonadati; Pseudomonadota. The record is from RNAcentral.